ACUAUCCUUUUCUUGGGGUUACACUACUGUCCAAAGAGCAUGUAGUGAGGGCAGUACUGCCAAUGUCUACACAACACACCUGCAUCAACUAGAGCUUUGCUUUAGCUUGGUGCAAUUUUUGGAAAA
Cercocebus atys (sooty mangabey) is the source of this 126-nucleotide small nuclear RNA. The record is from Ensembl. NCBI's taxonomy places the organism in Eukaryota, Metazoa, Chordata, Mammalia, Primates, Cercopithecidae.